GGGAUAAUGCUUACGAAAGG
This 20-nucleotide non-coding RNA is filed under the name Arabidopsis thaliana (thale cress). Lineage: Eukaryota; Viridiplantae; Streptophyta; Magnoliopsida; Brassicales; Brassicaceae. The record is from RNAcentral.